AGUGAACGCUGGCGGUAGGCCUAACACAUGCAAGUCGGACGGCAGCACAGUAAGAGCUUGCUCUUACGGGUGGCGAGUGGCGGACGGGUGAGGAAUACAUCGGAAUCUACUUUUUCGUGGGGGAUAACGUAGGGAAACUUACGCUAAUACCGCAUACGACCUACGGGUGAAAGCGGGGGAUCUUCGGACCUUGCGCGAUUGAAUGAGCCGAUGUCGGAUUAGCUAGUUGGCGGGGUAAAGGCCCACCAAGGCGACGAUCCGUAGCUGGUCUGAGAGGAUGAUCAGCCACACUGGAACUGAGACACGGUCCAGACUCCUACGGGAGGCAGCAGUGGGGAAUAUUGGACAAUGGGCGCAAGCCUGAUCCAGCCAUACCGCGUGGGUGAAGAAGGCCUUCGGGUUGUAAAGCCCUUUUGUUGGGAAAGAAAAGCAGCAGGUUAAUACCCCGCUGUUCUGACGGUACCCAAAGAAUAAGCACCGGCUAACUUCGUG
This 492-nucleotide ribosomal RNA is filed under the name uncultured bacterium. Its description in RNAcentral is "partial 16S ribosomal RNA". It matches the Rfam family "Bacterial small subunit ribosomal RNA", at positions 29 to 507 of the family's 1533-position model. The record is from RNAcentral.